RNAcentral lists this long non-coding RNA (234 nucleotides) under Brachypodium distachyon (stiff brome). RNAcentral describes it as "long non-coding RNA (BDIS_LNC001941)". Lineage: Eukaryota; Viridiplantae; Streptophyta; Magnoliopsida; Poales; Poaceae. The record is from RNAcentral.
GAGGCCACAGCCAAGUCUCCCAGGAAGGCCACCGCCAAGUCGCCCAAGAAGGCGGACGCCUCUUAGGCCCGGGAAGUGCAAUGCCGGUGCCCCGUCUCCCUCCCUCGCUCCCUCCCUCCCUCUUCCCCGUCCACCUGAGUCGUCGUCGUCAUCAAUUCGUCGUUGCGUGCUAUCGUUGUCAUGGAUCAAUUGCUCCUCGUUUGAACUUCAAUUACGUCGCGUUUAGCUUCCGAU